AAAGAGCGGGUCAAUUGAGCCUCGGAGUCCUUCUCCACCCACAUAUCAAUUUUAAAAAAUGCAACAUUAGUAGGCGUUGCCUGGAGGACCGAGAGGGCGGAGCCGCGGCAGUGACGAAGACGAUGGCUAACUAGACGAAGCUAGCUCCCUUCACUCUGAGCAGUUGAUAGAAGUGGAGGACGUUUCUCCCCCUCCUUACAGACACUCGAGAAGAAAGGGACCAAGUCUAUUUGGAGGAGACAAGCGGACCUGAGUCUUAUUGUUUUGAGCUUGUGAGUUGCCUGAAACUCCCAGAACCGACCCAACAGAAUCACCUCUGAAAGGUCCUCUGGUGUCUGCAGCUGGUCUCUGGUGUCUGCAGCUGGUCUCUGCUGGUGUCCUCAGGAUCAGGAACUUCCAGAAGAAUGUGCCUUUCAAUGACUCUUUCCCCCUUAUUUGUUAUAUUAAUUAAAUAAAUCUCAAUUUAUAUA
This is a non-coding RNA of Nothobranchius furzeri (turquoise killifish), 470 nucleotides long. Lineage: Eukaryota; Metazoa; Chordata; Actinopteri; Cyprinodontiformes; Nothobranchiidae. The record is from RefSeq and is a predicted model, not a curated record.